This 353-nucleotide ribosomal RNA is filed under the name Brachionus calyciflorus. RNAcentral's name for it is "partial 16S ribosomal RNA". It matches the Rfam family "Bacterial large subunit ribosomal RNA", at positions 1897 to 2519 of the family's 2925-position model. Lineage: Eukaryota; Metazoa; Rotifera; Eurotatoria; Ploima; Brachionidae. The record is from RNAcentral.
CAAAGUAUCUUCUGCGCACUGAUUUAUUGAAUGGCCGCAGUACUCUGACUGUGCUAAGGUAGCGUGAUUCUUGUUUUCUUAAUUAGAAAUCUGUUCAAAGAAUGAUAUGUGGAAAAUCUAUUGUUUUCAUACUUAAAUAAACUUAAAUUGUUAGUGAAAAUUCUAACUAGCUCUUAAAAGACGAGAAGACCCCAUAAAACUUAAUUUAACCACUUAUUUUUUACUUUUUCAAAUUUAAAUGGGGACUUUAGAGUAAAAUAAUAACUUGUUGACCUAUAAAUUUAAUAACUGAGAAGCUACUUUGGGGAUAACAGGGUGAGAUAUUUAAAGAGUUCUUAUCGAUAAAUAUAAAU